Molecule: long non-coding RNA, 657 nt
Filed under: Homo sapiens (human)
Lineage: Eukaryota; Metazoa; Chordata; Mammalia; Primates; Hominidae
Description: PREDICTED lncRNA (TCONS_00213504)
Source: RNAcentral
CAUAGAAAUGAAUCUCUUCUAUCAAGAUGAAAACUACAAACGACUGUUUCCAUGAAAGUGAGAAUAAAGGGAUUAAUUACAUGGUCAACAGCUGGAAUUUACAAGGAGGCAAAUUAAAUAAAAUAGCAGACAAGCAUGAACUGCAUUCCCACAAAAGCCAUAAAAUGGGAAUACCAAGAGAACUGGCAAAUAUGGAGUCUCGCUCUGUCGCCCAGGCUGGAGUGCAGCGGCAUGAUCUCACUGCAAGCUCCGCCUCGCGGGUUCACGCCAUUCUCCUGCCUCAGCCUCCCGAGCAGCUGGGACUACAGGCACCCGCCACCACGCCGGGCUAAUUUUUUAUAUUUUUAGUAGAGGCGGGGUUUCACCAUGUUAGUCAGGAUGGUCUCGAUCUCCUGGCCUCGUGAUCCGCCCGCCUCGGCCUCCCAAAGUGCUGGGAUUAUAGGCGUGACUCACCGCGCCCGGCCCUAUAUUGUGAACUUCUACAAAUAAUAUGAAAGAAACAGAAGACAGGCAACACAAUAGAAAGUGGGCCAAAUCAUAAAGUGGGCACUUCAUGAAAAAGGACAUCCAAAUUGCUAAUAAACAUAUGAAAAGAUGCUCAACUCUCUUAGUCAUCAGCGAAAUGCAAAUUAAUUAAUCAGAAUGAAUAAAAUUAAA